This 468-nucleotide ribosomal RNA is filed under the name uncultured bacterium. RNAcentral describes it as "partial 16S ribosomal RNA". It matches the Rfam family "Bacterial small subunit ribosomal RNA", at positions 28 to 507 of the family's 1533-position model. The record is from RNAcentral.
GACGAACGCUGGCGGCGUGCUUAACACAUGCCAGUCGAACGGAAAGGCCCUGCUUUUGUGGGGUGCUCGAGUGGCGAACGGGUGAGUAACACGUGAGUAACCUGCCCUUGACUUUGGGAUAACUUCAGGAAACUGGGGCUAAUACCGGAUAGGAGCUCCUGCUGCAUGGUGGGGGGUGGAAAGUUUCGGCGGUUGGGGAUGGACUCGCGGCUUAUCAGCUUGUUGGUGGGGUAGUGGCUUACCAAGGCUUUGACGGGUAGCCGGCCUGAGAGGGUGACCGGCCACAUUGGGACUGAGAUACGGCCCAGACUGCUACGGGGGGCAGCAGUGGGGAAUAUUGCACAAUGGGCGGAAGCCUGAUGCAGCAACGCCGCGUGCGGGAUGACGGCCUUCGGGUUGUAAACCGCUUUCGCCUGUGACGAAGCGUGAGUGACGGUAAUGGGUAAAGAAGCACCGGCUAACUACGUG